This is a long non-coding RNA of Lacerta agilis (Sand lizard), 321 nucleotides long. RefSeq lists it as uncharacterized. The transcript has 2 exons. NCBI's taxonomy places the organism in Eukaryota, Metazoa, Chordata, Lepidosauria, Squamata, Lacertidae. The record is from RefSeq and is a predicted model, not a curated record.
CAGAGAAACAGAAGUGUGAGGACACUGUCUCUCCUAUUCAGCUUAGCUUGGCUUGCUUAUUACAGAGUUGUGAUAGGAAAUUCUUCCUCCCUGGCAAAGUCCUAACAAUGAGUUACUGCCAGACAACAGCCUUUCAUCAGUUCUUGGAGGGAUAGACAACAGCUCACCUCCAUCUGACUGCUCUGUUUUCCGGCACGGGGAGACAAUUUAUGGAGGCUGCAGACAAAGUAAAAGUUCAGAGAGCACUUUCUCCUAUGCUGAGAAAGAAUGUCUGAUUCAUAAUAUGGGAGUCUUUACAUCGAUUAAAUGGCUCUGAGGGGA